GAGUGGGUAGAAUGGUUAAAAAAAAAUCUUGGUAUGUUGUAUCAAUAACUUCAAUAAUGUCAAGUACUUUUGGCAAAACAUGAACAUAUUUACCAAAUUCUUUUGAUUAAUAUCUCUUGAAGUUUACGAAAGAAUUCACAACUAAAAUAGUACACAUACAAAUCAUAAAACAUGGUAUAAACAAGACUAUUAUACAUUGAGCUAAAUAUCAUUCCUCAACAUAGAUAAGUUUGGACUCCACUUGACAUCAUUCUUUUGUACCACUUUGGGCAGAAGACUUCGGAAGACUCUGUGGGAAGUCUUCUACCAUA
Molecule: long non-coding RNA, 311 nt
Filed under: Brassica napus (rape)
Lineage: Eukaryota; Viridiplantae; Streptophyta; Magnoliopsida; Brassicales; Brassicaceae
Description: long non-coding RNA (BNAP_LNC018496)
Source: RNAcentral